AACAAACGCUGGCGGCGUGCCUAAUACAUGCAAGUCGAACGGGGAAAGUAGCAAUAUGAGUACUAGUGGCGCACGGGUGAGGAAUACAUGGGUAAUCUGCCUUCAAGUUUGGGAUAACCAGUCGAAAGAUUGGCUAAUACCGGAUAAGACCACGGGAUCUGCGGAUCCAGAGGUCAAAGGUUUUUCGCUUGAAGAUGAGCCCAUGUGGGAUUAGCUAGUUGGUGAGGUAAUGGCUCACCAAGGCGACGAUCCCUAACUGGUCUUAGAGGAUGAUCAGUCACACUGGAACUGAGACACGGUCCAGACUCCUACGGGAGGCAGCAGUAGGGAAUAUUGCGCAAUGGGGGAAACCCUGACGCAGCGACGCCGCGUGAGUGAUGAAGGCCUUCGGGUCGUAAAGCUCUGUCGUAUGGGACUAACAAAAUGAAGGUACCAUGCAAGAAAGGAUCGGCUAACUUCGUGCCAGCCGCCGCAGUAA
RNAcentral lists this ribosomal RNA (478 nucleotides) under uncultured bacterium. Its description in RNAcentral is "partial 16S ribosomal RNA". It matches the Rfam family "Bacterial small subunit ribosomal RNA", at positions 29 to 523 of the family's 1533-position model. The record is from RNAcentral.